CCUACGGGAGGCAGCAGUGGGGAAUAUUGGGCAAUGGAGGAAACUCUGACCCAGCGACGCCGCGUGAGGGAUGAAGGCCUUCGGGUUGUAAACCUCUUUCAGUAGGGAAGAAGCGAAAGUGACGGUACCUACAGAAGAAGCACCGGCUAACUAUGUGCCAGCAGCCGCGGUGAUACAUAGGGUGCAAGCGUUGUCCGGAAUUAUUGGGCGUAAAGAGCUCGUAGGUGGUUCGAUACGUCGGAUGUGAAAAUCAGGGGCUCAACCCCUGACCUGCAUCCGAUACGGUCGAGCUAGAGUUUGGUAGGGGAGACUGGAAUUCCUGGUGUAGCGGUGGAAUGCGCAGAUAUCAGGAGGAACACCGAUGGCGAAGGCAGGUCUCUGGGCCAAUACUGACACUGAGGAGCGAAAGCGUGGGGAGCGAACAGGAUUAGAUACCCUGGUAGUCCACGCCGUAAACGGUGGGCGCUAGUUGUGCGAACCUUCCACGGUUUGUGCGACGCAGCUAACGCAUUAAGCGCCCCGCCUGGGGAGUACGAUCGCAAGAUUAAAACUCAAAGGAAUUGACGGCNGAGAGUGCGACGACGACGACGAGGGAGAGG
RNAcentral lists this ribosomal RNA (599 nucleotides) under uncultured bacterium. RNAcentral describes it as "bacterial SSU rRNA". It matches the Rfam family "Bacterial small subunit ribosomal RNA", at positions 338 to 950 of the family's 1533-position model. The record is from RNAcentral.